AUGCCGCAGCCGGGUAACACCACCACCGGUCACCACGGCCGCCUUCUUCACUCCCCGGCGUUGGUUGCGGACUGGAGAUGGCAACAGCGUCGGCGCGGCGGGCGGCAUCGUGGCGGUGGAGGUGAGGCAGGGGCAGGCACGCGGGCCACGCGGGCCACGCGCCGCUGCUGCGCUCGCCGGCACUGGACCGAGGGCGGCAUGCUCCGCGACGUGCCCAUCGGCGGCGGCCGCAAGAACAGGCGCAACGGUUGUGGCAAGGGCGGCGCCAAGGCCCCCUCCCCGGCUCCCCCGUCACCACGGAGGUGUCUACUGCAGCUACCCAGGGCAGCGGUGCAGGCGCGCCGGCCGGCGCCGUUGACGGGUUCAUCCCAGCCGACUUCUUGA
Molecule: ribosomal RNA, 384 nt
Filed under: Triticum aestivum (bread wheat)
Lineage: Eukaryota; Viridiplantae; Streptophyta; Magnoliopsida; Poales; Poaceae
Description: partial small subunit ribosomal RNA
Source: RNAcentral